RNAcentral lists this small RNA (1232 nucleotides) under uncultured fungus. RNAcentral's name for it is "eukaryotic LSU rRNA". The stretch from base 799 to 1232 matches the Rfam family "Eukaryotic large subunit ribosomal RNA", at positions 1 to 429 of the family's 3401-position model. The record is from RNAcentral. Lineage: Eukaryota; Fungi.
UCCGUAGGUGAACCUGCGGUUGGAUCAUUAAACAAAAAUGCAUGGGCUGCUUAAAACUGCCCUUAUGUAUAAGAUGCUCCAUUUUUAGGAGCACUACCUGGGAUACGGAAGUAUGAGAAGUUGCCGGCCCCCAACUAGGGGAGGUCUUCCUUUUAGCUGGGGGUUUUCUUAUAAUUGAGGUUCCCAAGUAUGGCUGGUGUUCUAGAUGGAGAGUCUUAUGCAUAUCCUUCGGGAACAUUGUGUGCACUGUUGUGUCUCUGGCGGUGGGCAGGUGUUUGGGCAUAUGCAAGUAUGCUCGAUGCCCUGUCUGUCAGCCUGGUGUAAAAUGCCAGUGCCGUGGACAAACCGCCGAAUUAUUUAACAACUUGUAAAUUUCAACUUUGAGUCUGACUUUAGUUUUUAUUAAAUUAUAACAAACAACUUUUGGCAACGGAUCUCUUGGCUCUCGCAACGAUGAAGAACGCAGCGAAAUGCGAUAAGUAGUGUGAAUUGCAGAAUUCAGUGAAUCAUCGAAUCUUUGAACGCACAUUGCGCUUCCUGGCAUUCCGGGAAGCAUGCCCAUUUCAGAAUCAUUAAACACACCUCAUCAUCUUGAAUGGUGGACGUUGGACUGUUUGACUUUGGUCAACUGUCUCAAAAUGAUUGUGCUGGCUUCAGGCUGUUGCCGCUUAGCUUUAAAAGGUGCAAAAAGAUGAAUAUUAUUGUUCGCUUCCACCUCUUGAGCUAACCACUAGCAACUCUGUUGUCGUGCACUCCUAAUGCCCAGGUUUUCCACGUAAGCUGGAUGAUCUGUUAACUUGGUCUGAAAUUGGGCAAGAAAACCCGCUGAACUUAAGCAUAUCAAUAAGCGGAGGAAAAGAAACUAACAAGGAUUCCCUUAGUAACGGCGAGUGAAGCGGGAAUAGCUCAAAUUUGAAAUCUCACAGGGCCUGCCUGUGCGAAUUGUAGUUUAGAGAAGCGUUUUCGGGGGCGCCUUGGGUAUAAGUCCUCUGGAAUGGGGCAUCAUAGAGGGUGAGAAUCCCGUUUAUGAUCCAAUGUGCACUUCUAUGUGAUACGCUUUCCAAGAGUCAGGUAGUUUGGGAUUGCUGCCUAAAAUGGGUGGUAAAUACCAUCUAAAGCUAAAUAUUGGCGAGAGACCGAUAGCGAACAAGUACCGUGAGGGAAAGAUGAAAAGAACUUUGAAAAGAGAGUUAAACAGUACGUGAAAUUGCCAAAAGGGAAACGCUUGAAGU